UAGUUUUCCGUAUAUCCAACAUAUAUAUAUUACUUCCGUAACUUGGGUAUAACUUAACUAUUUUUAUCUAAUUUAUGGUUAUAUAGUUCUAUAUCUGAAGAAUCUCGGCUACGGGUCUUACUGGAGGGCUGCAGUAACUCAAGCUAGCAUUGAGCAAGUUGAAGAUGCCUUUAGUUGGGAAAGAUCUCAUAGCUUCAUCUGAUUUAAUCGAAGAAGAAAGGUUUCACCUUGGAGGCUUUUUUCUGUUUUGAGAGCUACCUGAAUCCCACAAAAUUUUGAUGUCUACAAGUAUUCCCUACUUCAAGACUUGGCGGAGUGUAAACUUCAUGAAAGUCAAAGACAAGACUUGAAGUGACAGUAUUGAAGACUUUAUAUUGUUUGAGCCAUGUCUGUUGCAUCGUAUGAGCCAAAAAUCUUGCAUGUUAUUCAAGGAAAAUACUUUACACCGUUUGAGCUAAAGUAUUGCCCUUUCUGAGUCGAAGAAUUUACACCGUCAAUGACAAAGACCGUACACUAGUUCGCGACAAAGAAUUUUAUACCAUCUGAGCUAAAUAAUUUAUGUUGCAUGAGGAGAAUACUUUACACCAUCUAAGACAAAGUGUUGCCUUAUUUGAGUCAACGACUCUACAACAUCGAAGUCAAAGACUUUAUAUAGUUCGCAAAAAGAUUUUUAUAUUGUUUGAGAUAAAGACUUUGUAUUCUGCUUACG
This is a long non-coding RNA of Capsicum annuum, 709 nucleotides long. RefSeq lists it as uncharacterized. The transcript has 4 exons. Lineage: Eukaryota; Viridiplantae; Streptophyta; Magnoliopsida; Solanales; Solanaceae. The record is from RefSeq and is a predicted model, not a curated record.